CAUUCUUUAGGACUGGUCUGCACACAUUUAGAGGACAUGUAGUGGUUUUUCCAUUGUGGAAUUGCUGUUUGACCUUAGCAUGACCUAUCUGAGGGAAUGCAGAACCACGAGUGGAAUCUGGUUCCAAGUGGGGAAAAUAUACUAGUGUUGCAUGAACUAGGGGAUUACCAAAGGGCCCUCACCUACCCCAGAUAAAGAUUUAGUCAAUGGGAGAAAAAAUCUCACCCACAGAGAAAGGUAGAAAUCCAUAAUUUUGGGAAGUGCUCUAGCCCCCUUAUUUAAAAAAGAAAAAAAUUCUUAAAAAUCUGUGGAAAAGCAGCAUCUGUCUCCUUGGUCUGUGUGUGUUUUUGAAUAAACUCCCAAAUGUUUCUUUGACCUCGGCACAGUUUAUUGAGAGCAGUUGUCAGGCACAGAUUGGGAUCCACAUUCCCCUAAUCUGCCUUCCAAAUUCCUUCUUGCAUUUUAUUUGGUCGUAUCCUGUGCGUUGCGACUUGGCAUUUCAGCAUUUGUCACUGAUCCUAUUUUAAAAAUCAAGCUUGCCGUUGUUUUGGCUCAGGUACUUUAGAAACAAAAAUUGAAAGUCAAGGAACUAUUCAGGAGGUCUUGGGAAAAAAAGGCAACACCAGCUGUUUUCUGUUAGUAACAACUGAAUCUGGAACACGGGUUUCCUUAGGCGCUGAUCUGCUGUCCACUAUUUCACCUCUGGUGUCUGAGCAAAUAUUAUAUUCACUGACUCAAGAUGAGAGUAAAAGCAAAUCUUUUUCUGUCUUCCAGUUCCUUGGGAAAAAGCACAAACUUGGGAAAGGAGAUGUUUAUUUUAAACUUGUGAUAGGAAUUAAAUGGUACCAAAUUCCAGUCCCAGGAAAAAUUGCGAUAAAGAAAGAAGGAGAUGAACCAGAAAGAUGAGACAGGAAAAAAGGCGAAGGCAAGUGGAAGCAUCAGUGAAGCCAAUGUGGAAAGGAUCAAGAAGAACAGACAAAUUGAGGCAGAAAAGCAAGGCCAGUAACUGUAAUGGUGAAGUUUUGAAAUGAUACUAUGCAUACUACAUUUUAAUGGGUAUCCUCCCCAUUCAAAUGAGAGGAAGGAGGAGGAAUUGGGAAGGUGAGUGGAAAAGAAUAUUUCAAACGAAUUCUCCCUACAUGACAUCACUUUCCUUUAGGCUGACCUUGAUUUCUUGUCACCAGAGCAGGUGCCACAUGUUUAGCUCUCUGAGCUGGUGGUAUGUCGCAAAUCCCAUGUUUUUAUGAGUGUUUUACACAACUUUUUCCUUGUGACUUAAACUCGUCUAGACUCAAAAGUCUAAGUUUGGACAGCAGAAGGAAGCCAAAACAGCAAAAGAAAGCAUGCUAUAGAAAAGAUACUAAAUCUUGACCAUAAACAGAGGAGGGAAACCAGACAGCUGUAUUGUACUUCAGUUAGUUUUGUUUACCACUAUCUGUCAGGGCUAGUCCUGCUGCUACUCUGAGCAAGUUGUCCUGCUUUAAUUUCAGUAGUAUCUGUUUAUCGCCCAGUCUUCGUUGCCAGUUAUGCUCAGGUCAUUAACUGCUUGGUUACCUCUUAACCUCAUUUGGGAAAGUUUAUAUGUUGAUAGUCCUGUAACUUGAACCAGCUCACUUAUUUUUAAGAAAGUUAGGAUUCUUUUUAUCUUCUCCAACUCAUCACUAAAAGAGGUUAAUUGAAAAAUACAGAGACCACUACUUAAGUAAUUUUUUCACCAAAGACAUUCAAUAUCAUGACAGAAUUCAGGAUGUGGAGGGAGACUGGCAGGUGGGGAAGGAGAGACAGAGAAGAGUUGGCAGGACCCAUGUGUAUCAUCUUCUCAGUUUAGAAGCCCAUAUGGUGCUUCAUAAUGCUCUGCUCAAUUGCCAUAUAGUUUUAGUCUACAUCCUAUUAAAAAUAAACCCUAUUAAGAAGAG
RNAcentral lists this long non-coding RNA (1916 nucleotides) under Macaca mulatta (Rhesus monkey). RNAcentral's name for it is "lncRNA (ENSMMUG00000051345.1)". The record is from RNAcentral. Lineage: Eukaryota; Metazoa; Chordata; Mammalia; Primates; Cercopithecidae.